CUACGGGUGGCAGCAGUGAGGAAUAUUGCGCAAUGGGGGAAACCCUGACGCAGCGACGCCGCGUGGAUGAUGAAGGCCUUCGGGUUGUAAAGUCCUGUCAGAUGGGAAGAACUGUUACAUGUCUAAUAUAUGUGUAACCUGACGGUACCAUCAAAGGAAGCACCGGCUAACUCCGUGCCAGCAGCCGCGGUAAUACGGAGGGUGCAAGCGUUGUUCGGAAUUACUGGGCGUAAAGCGCGCGUAGGCGGCUAUGUAAGUCAGAUGUGUAAGCCCAUGGCUUAACCAUGGACGUGCAUGUGAUACUGCAUGGCUUGAGUACUGGAGGGGGUGGUGGAAUUCCCGGUGUAGAGGUGAAAUUCGUAGAUAUCGGGAGGAAUACCGGUGGCGAAGGCGACCACCUGGCCAGAUACUGACGCUGAGGUGCGAAAGCGUGGGGAGCAAACAGGAUUAGAUACCCUCGUAGUC
Molecule: ribosomal RNA, 465 nt
Filed under: uncultured bacterium
Lineage: Bacteria
Description: partial 16S ribosomal RNA
Rfam family: Bacterial small subunit ribosomal RNA
Source: RNAcentral